UCCGGUUUGUCACCGGCAGUCUGGUGUGAGUCCCCAACUUAAUGCUGGCAACACACCACGGGGGUUGCGCUCGUUGCGGGACUUAACCCAACAUCUCACGACACGAGCUGACGACAACCAUGCACCACCUGUGCACGGCCCUUACGGACCCCACAUCUCUGCAGGAUUUCCCUGCAUGUCAAGCCUUGGUACGGUUCUUCGCGUUGCAUCGAAUUAAUCCGCAUGCUCCGCCGCUUGUGCGGGGCUCCGUCAAUUCCUUUGAGUUUUAGCCUUGCGGCCGUACUCCCCAGGCGGGGCGCUUAAUGCGUUUGCUGCGGCACAGAACUCGUGGAAUGAGCCCCACACCUAGCGCCCAACGUUUACGGCAUGGACUAC
RNAcentral lists this unclassified non-coding RNA (375 nucleotides) under uncultured Actinomycetes bacterium. RNAcentral's name for it is "uncultured actinobacterium contains 16S-23S intergenic spacer region". Lineage: Bacteria; Bacillati; Actinomycetota; Actinomycetes. The record is from RNAcentral.